GAGUUUGAUCCUGGCUCAGGACGAACGCUGGCGGCGCGCCUAACACAUGCAAGUCGAACGAGAGAGAGGGAGCUUGCUUCCUUGAUCGAGUGGCGAACGGGUGAGUAACGCGUGAGGAACCUGCCUCAAAGAGGGGGACAACAGUUGGAAACGACUGCUAAUACCGCAUAAGCCCACGGUGCCGCAUGGCACAGAGGGAAAAGGAGCAAUCCGCUUUGAGAUGGCCUCGCGUCCGAUUAGCUAGUUGGUGAGGUAACGGCCCACCAAGGCAACGAUCGGUAGCCGGACUGAGAGGUUGAACGGCCACAUUGGGACUGAGACACGGCCCAGACUCCUACGGGAGGCAGCAGUGGGGAAUAUUGCACAAUGGGGGGAACCCUGAUGCAGCAACGCCGCGUGAGUGAAGAAGUAUUUCGGUAUGUAAAGCUCUAUCAGCAGGGAAGAUAAUGACGGUACCUGACUAAGAAGCACCGGCUAAAUACGUGCCAGCAGCCGCGGUAAUAC
RNAcentral lists this ribosomal RNA (504 nucleotides) under uncultured bacterium. Its description in RNAcentral is "bacterial SSU rRNA". It matches the Rfam family "Bacterial small subunit ribosomal RNA", at positions 9 to 526 of the family's 1533-position model. The record is from RNAcentral.